GACGAACGCUGGCGGCGUGCCUAAUACAUGCAAGUUGAGCGCUGAAGGUUGGUACUUGUACCAACUGGAUGAGCAGCGCACGGGUGAGUAACGCGUGGGGAAUCUGCCUUUGAGCGGGGGACAACAUUUGGAAACGAAUGCUAAUACCGCAUAAAAACUUUAAACACAAGUUUUAAGUUUGAAAGAUGCAAUUGCAUCACUCAAAGAUGAUCCCGCGUUGUAUUAGCUAGUUGGUGAGGUAAAGGCUCACCAAGGCGAUGAUACAUAGCCGACCUGAGAGGGUGAUCGGCCACAUUGGGACUGAGACACGGCCCAAACUCCUACGGGAGGCAGCAGUAGGGAAUCUUCGGCAAUAGACGAAAGUCUGACCGAGCAACGCCGCGUGAGUGAAGAAGGUUUUCGGAUCGUAAAACUCUGUUGGUAGAGAAGAACGUUGGUGAGAGUGGAAAGCUCAUCAAGUGACGGUAACUACCCAGAAAGGGACGGCUAACUACGUG
This 497-nucleotide ribosomal RNA is filed under the name uncultured bacterium. RNAcentral's name for it is "partial 16S ribosomal RNA". It matches the Rfam family "Bacterial small subunit ribosomal RNA", at positions 28 to 507 of the family's 1533-position model. The record is from RNAcentral.